GACGAACGCUGGCGGCGUGCUUAAUACAUGCAAGUCGAACGGAAAGGCCCUGCUUUUGUGGGGUGCUCGAGUGGCGAACGGGUGAGUAACGCGUGAGUAACCUGCCCUUGACUGUGGGAUAACUUCAGGAAACUGGGGCUAAUACCGGAUAGGAGCUCCUGCUGCAUGGUGGGGGUUGGAAAGUUUCGGCGGUUGGGGAUGGAUUCGCGGCUUAUCAGCUUGUUGGGGGGGUAGUGGCUGACCAAGGCUUUGACGGGUAGCCGGCCUGAGAGGGUGACCGGCGACAUUGGGCCUGAGAUAGGCACCAGACUCCUACGGGAGGCAGCAGUGGGGAAUAUUGCGCAAUGGGCGGAAGCCUGAUGCGGCAACGCCGCGUGCGGGAUAACGGCCUUCGAGUGGUAAACCGCUUUCGACUGUGACGAAGCGUGCGUGACGGUAACGGGUAAGGAAGCACCGGCUAACUACGUG
Molecule: ribosomal RNA, 468 nt
Filed under: uncultured bacterium
Lineage: Bacteria
Description: partial 16S ribosomal RNA
Rfam family: Bacterial small subunit ribosomal RNA
Source: RNAcentral